GGCAUGGUGAUGGGAUUAUCUGUGCCCUGUCUCAAAGCUGUUACACAAGAUUGUGCUGCAGACAUGGCUGGCUGGCGGUCACCCUCAUAGAAGUAAGUGGGUCAGGUUAGUGCCCAGGUAAACUCUUGCCCCGAUGCUCAGUGGAUGGGAAUUGCAGGAUUCUUUUGGGUCUUACAGUCGUACAAUAGAGAGGUCCUUAGAGGUCAUGCAGUCCACUCCUGCCAUGUUUAGAUCAAGAAGCUGAUGCCCAGAGAAGGGACGAAACUUGCCCAGAGUUCCCUGUGCUGUGGCGAUCUUGGGCACCCUCUGAAAUCCACACCUUGUAAUGAGGUCUGUUGAGUAAGAAGUGUAGCUGAAACAGGUCUUGGUUGCCAGGGACAGUGUUAGGAAGGUAUUAGGUAAAACCCCAGCCUAAUCUCCUGGAACUCUGGGACAACCCUGCAGAUAGGCCUUGCUAAACAGCUGUAGGAAGUGUUGGGAGAGUGGUGUGCUGAGGCUCCUUUUCUAGGCCUUCCCUGUUUCAAUGAUCUUUGUGGCUGACACCUUGGGAGUUCUACAAGAACAAGAUAAGCAUACACGCUGAGAUUGGCACCUCCUAGUAGCACUUCCAAGAAUUGCCUGCCAGCUGAUUCCCACGGGAGAAGUGGCCUGGCUUCAGAUUUGAGUAAUCACCGUGGCCAGUGACGCAGUGUGUGAUGUGUGUGUCCUUGUGCAUGCACACACAUGCCACAUGCACACAUGCAUGUGUAGAGCUGUUAGUCUUUGGGACGGCUGUGUCCCCACAUCCUGUCUGUGCCAAAUCAUAGAGUUACUUGGCCAGAGUCUGUGGGUGCGAUUUUGUAGCCUAGUCUUGGGAGUCCCCUCUCUUGUGCUUUUGCUUGGGCCCUUCUGCCCAGCUGUACUCUUGUCUCCCUUUUCUCCACAGAUCGAAAUUCGGGCUCAUGUUGAAGUGUCAGCUUGAAUCUUCCUUUGGCUCUUCUGUGAAGUCCCCAGCCCCAGCCCAGUCCACAGUUCUACUGUUCUCACUCUUUUGGAUGCCAAGAGCUUUCUUCUCUGUCAACCACAUGGGGGAAAAGACUGAGAUUCUGCUCAGGCAAGACAUCUGACUUGCGCAGCAAGCGGCUCUAUGUUGCAAUCUCCCUGUGAAAUCACUUCGCAAGGAGAUCCAGGAGGAGGAAGUGAGAGGGGCUGAGGAGCGAGGGGUAACAUCCCCGCCUUUGUCCUUUAACGGCUUUUGGAAGGGACGACAUCGCUCAAAGGCAGACAUCCCUAAUGAACUCCCAAGAAUGCAGUCCUUCUCAGAAGAGCAAUCGGAUAGCCUGCCAGGACUAAGCUACCCAGGUUUGGUUCAGGGCUGAAGCUGUUUGCCAGUCAUGGAGAGUAAAUGCUCACAAAUCAUCUGGGAGGUACGGACAAGAGAAGCAAGGUCCGGGGAAGCUGACUUGCCUAAGACUUGGGAGGUGCUGACAUUGUGGCUGGUCCAGGGACCACACCUUGAGAACCUUUCCUGCUGGCAUCUAUCCAGAGUGACUGUGGAAAGACAAUAAGGCUCGAAGCCUCGAGAAAAGAACUGGUCCCGGUCCCUCAGGAUGGUUGUCUGGCCCACUGGGUCUCCUGGAGAGUAUCAUUCAUGAUCCUGGUGCCCCCAGGACCCUGUCCAGAAAGGUGAACUGGUGUUGUUGAGGACGGACCCCUGGCACCCGGCUUGGUUUUCCUGAGUGAGGCCUUCUGUUGUCACAGGUCGUUGUUAUCGGUCAUAGUUUUCAUUGACUACGGAGUCAAACUGUAUUCCUUUCCUGAACUGACAGAGCAUGACUGGUAAGGGUCAGCUUUGAGUCUGGUCUUUGCUUUUUUCCUCCUUUUCUUUGAGUGCGAGCACUUGAUUGACAUCCUUGUCUGGUUCUUAGGUGAGAGGCUAUUUGUUUCUAUUUGUUGGGCUCCCCUUGUUUCCCCUGCUAAAAUACAUUUUGUUUUUCUGAAAUAAUAGAAAGACUAAUUUAUGUAUUUUUAAAACUAGGGACGUUAGCUGAAUUCAUCUGUGGACGCAAAUGGAAGGAAAGGUGGUUUCCCCACUGGUUUCUCUGCUCCCUAACGUGAAUUGUGGGAAGUUGAAAGUCUGGGUUGUUGCUUCCUCUGGUAACAUUUCCCAUCUCCCUAAAUCAUGCCACAGAUGUGAAGUUUCAGUUUGAUUUGGAUUCUGGUUUUAUGCUUACAGAGGUACAUGAAGACCCUGGCUUCGUAAAUCUUUUUUGUUUUUCCACUUUUAUUUUUAAAUGUAGCUAGGCCCAAAGUUUAUGUCCAUUUAGCUGACCUUUUCAAUAGUAAGAGCUGUUUUAUAAGGCAGCAGAAGUGAAAGUUAUCAGCAAGGCUGCUUAAUGUAAAGUAUUUAUGAAUGAACGUGCAAAAACCAAUCUGGGGGUGUAAAACGUGGGGCUGUAGUCAGGCAGAACUGCUUGCGACUUGAGCCUUCUUUGCAGUCAAGCAUAAUUCAUGCUGCUGUUAGCCCUUAAAACAGGAAAUAAUAUACCCAUUUAACUUAAUCACAAUUUAUAUUACAUGUGCAUAUUUCUAAACAAAUGUUGUAGAUGGAGAGUUUGGUAGCAAUAAUAUUUAUGAAUUACACUUUUAGUUAGCAAAGGAAAUGUGUGACCUCUUACAUUUGGUUUGACAUUUGAAUUUGGUGUUCAGUAUAUUUGACAGGGGUGAUGGAUUCUCAUUAGCUCCACGUAUAAACAGGAAAUGCUUCCUUGGUGAACAGUUAUUAAUGUGGGACAUCCCUGAAUUUGAAUGUUUAGUUGCUUUUUCUGCUGGAGACUGUGAAACUUGCUUCAGGUCUGUCUUUAAAAAAACAAAAAACAGAAAACAAAACCCAAAAAGUAAAAAACCAGGUUUUAAUUUUGUGUCUUGCAAACCUGCCCAGCAUACAAAUUUAUCCAACAUCCAAGCUCUGAGAAAUGGGAAAUGGUUGACAAACUGGUGGCAAGUGAGGUCACCGAGGUCUGAGAGACAAGGAGCAGCCCCGGCUGCAGACACCCCGCCCCUGCCUUGUGGAUUUUGCUCGCCUUAAUUUCUAAAUAAGAUAACCUAUAGGAAUUAGAACGCGACGUGGGGGCACAUUUGAGUAAGCUCGUACUUAACCUUUACUCAUACCAGGAUUAAAACAGUUCGUGCAAAACGGGAAUCAGAACACGUUUGUGAUGUGGCUUAAGGCAGCAAUCUCAUUGUCAAUUUUUAGCACUCACUUGGUAUUCUGCCAUGAUACCAGGAAAUGGAAGCUGGAGGAAGGGUGUGGGGAGCUAGGAGAGACCUCUCAUCUCGGACGGGAACGAGGGGAAACCAGGCCAGUGGGCUGGUGUCUGCCGUGGGCUGGGGUGGGGGGGGGACCCUGUGCUCAGCCCCCUCUGAGGAAUGCUUAGAAUCUAAUUAGAAGUUAGUGAGAAACCCGGAAAGUGAAGCUGGCAGGCCCUUAAUCUGAAUUUCAGGUCUUCAGAAGGAGAAAGUAGCGUUUUUAUUGUUGGAGGUCAAAGUUUAAAUUUAGUUUAUAUCAGAUUACCAAAAUACGCUUUUGGUAAGGUUAGAUUCUCAUGCUCGGAGAGUCGGAGUGUAAUGAAAGCAAACAGGGCCAGAGAUAAUCCCAUUACAGAUGAACUCUUCACUCGAAGCUCAGCCAUUUGGGAACCAUAAUAACACCAUCUCAGCAAGAAGAUAAAGGCCAAGAGCGGGCAGGGCUGCGAAGGAACCUCGCUGACCAUCCUGUUUAACAUAUCCCCUUCCCCUCCUGGCACGCCCUGCCCUUGAGUUGGUUAGUUUUUCUUCUGCUUCCCCUACUAAAAUUUAAGACCCCCGAGGGUAGAGAUUUUUGUCUAUUUUAUUCACUGCUCUGUACUCACCAAGUAGAGCACAGCCUGCCUCCUACGAAGCACUCACCAAAUAUUUGAUGCAUGAAUGCGUGAAGAAACCUCGUUUCCUUUGAGCAGAAAGCGAAGGUUUUUAAAAUCAAAGAUUUUUAAACUAAAGUAGGGGGCCAGCCUCUCUUUGGAUUUUAGGAGUAGCAGUG
Long non-coding RNA from Felis catus (domestic cat), 4057 nucleotides. RefSeq lists it as uncharacterized. The record is from RefSeq and is a predicted model, not a curated record. NCBI's taxonomy places the organism in Eukaryota, Metazoa, Chordata, Mammalia, Carnivora, Felidae. The transcript has 6 exons.